CCUCAUUGUAAUGCCCUGUACUUUUUCUAGCUAAAAUUCAUCCCUAGAAUGUUAAAAAAUAGCUUCCAAAAUAGAUGAUAAUUAUUUCAUGUGGAAUUCUUUGGAUUUAGACUUUUCAUGGUGUGGGAAAUUGAUUAAGCUUUCCAUCGAUACCAAAUUCGCCUAAUUCCGACACUUGGUGAAAGAGUUAUGGCACUUUUAAGUUGGCAGUGUGCCACCCG
This 221-nucleotide long non-coding RNA is filed under the name Capsicum annuum. Its description in RNAcentral is "long non-coding RNA (CANN_LNC019392)". The record is from RNAcentral. Lineage: Eukaryota; Viridiplantae; Streptophyta; Magnoliopsida; Solanales; Solanaceae.